CACAAGCGGUGGAGCAUGUGGUUUAAUUCGAAGACAACGCGAAGAACCUUACCAGGCCUUGACAUGCAGAGAACUUUCCAGAGAUGGAUUGGUGCCUUCGGGAACUCUGACACAGGUGCUGCAUGGCUGUCGUCAGCUCGUGUCGUGAGAUGUUGGGUUAAGUCCCGUAACGAGCCGCAACCCUUGUCCUUAGUUACCAGCACGUUAUGGUGGGCACUCUAAGGAGACUGCCGGUGACAAACCGGAGGAGGGUGGGGAUGACGUCAAGUCAGCAUGGCCCUUACGUCCGGGGCUACACACGUGCUACAAUGGCCGGUACAAAGGGUUGCGAAGCCGUGAGGUGGAGCGAAUCUCAAAAAGCCGGCCUCAGUUCGGAUUGGAGGCUGCAACUCGCCUCCAUGAAGUCGGAAUCGCUAGUAACCGCAGAUCAGCUACGUUGCGGUGAAUACGUUCCCGGGCCUU
Molecule: ribosomal RNA, 462 nt
Filed under: uncultured Pseudomonas sp.
Lineage: Bacteria; Pseudomonadati; Pseudomonadota; Gammaproteobacteria; Pseudomonadales; Pseudomonadaceae
Description: bacterial SSU rRNA
Rfam family: Bacterial small subunit ribosomal RNA
Source: RNAcentral